Molecule: ribosomal RNA, 1025 nt
Filed under: Chlorociboria aeruginella
Lineage: Eukaryota; Fungi; Ascomycota; Leotiomycetes; Helotiales; Chlorociboriaceae
Description: SSU rRNA
Rfam family: Eukaryotic small subunit ribosomal RNA
Source: RNAcentral
GUCUAAGUAUAAGCAACUAUACCGUGAAACUGCGAAUGGCUCAUUAAAUCAGUUAUCGUUUAUUUGAUAGUACCUUACUACUUGGAUAACCGUGGUAAUUCUAGAGCUAAUACAUGCUAAAAGCCCCGACUUCGGAAGGGGUGUAUUUAUUAGAUAAAAAACCAAUGCCCUUCGGGGCUCCUUGGUGAUUCAUAAUAACUUAACGAAUCGCAUGGCCUUGUGCCGGCGAUGGUUCAUUCAAAUUUCUGCCCUAUCAACUUUCGAUGGUAGGAUAGUGGCCUACCAUGGUUUCAACGGGUAACGGGGAAUUAGGGUUCUAUUCCGGAGAGGGAGCCUGAGAAACGGCUACCACAUCCAAGGAAGGCAGCAGGCGCGCAAAUUACCCAAUCCCGACACGGGGAGGUAGUGACAAUAAAUACUGAUACAGGGCUCUUUUGGGUCUUGUAAUUGGAAUGAGUACAAUUUAAAUCCCUUAACGAGGAACAAUUGGAGGGCAAGUCUGGUGCCAGCAGCCGCGGUAAUUCCAGCUCCAAUAGCGUAUAUUAAAGUUGUUGCAGUUAAAAAGCUCGUAGUUGAACCUUGGGCCUGGUUGGCCGGUCCGCCUCACCGCGUGCACUGGUCCGACCGGGUCUUUCCUUCUGGGGAACCGCAUGCCCUUCACUGGGUGUGUCGGGGAACCAGGACUUUUACUUUGAAAAAAUUAGAGUGUUCAAAGCAGGCCUAUGCUCGAAUACAUUAGCAUGGAAUAAUAAAACAGGACUCGUGGUUCUAUUUUGUUGGUUUCUAGGACCGCAGUAAUGAUUAAUAGGGAUAGUCGGGGAUAUCAGUAUUUAGCUGUCAGAGGUGAAAUUCUUGGAUUUGCUAAAGACUAACUACUGCGAAAGCAUUUAUCAAGGAUGUUUUCAUUAAUCAGUGAACGAAAGUUAGGGGAUCGAAGACGAUCAGAUACCGUCGUAGUCUUAACCAUAAACUAUGCCGACUAGGGAUCGGGCGAUGUUAUUUUUUUGACUCGCUCGGCACCUUAC